Long non-coding RNA from Mytilus californianus (California mussel), 1273 nucleotides. RefSeq lists it as uncharacterized. The transcript has 4 exons. The record is from RefSeq and is a predicted model, not a curated record. Lineage: Eukaryota; Metazoa; Mollusca; Bivalvia; Mytilida; Mytilidae.
AAGAUUCUCCAUUUUCAACCAGAUUGGAAGUUGUAGGUUAUUAAACUUGUAUUUUAAAUUUUUUCCAUUUUCGCCCCAUGGGUUAUUCCGAUAGCUCUGCUCAUGUCCAUUCUUGUCUUGACAUUUUUUUGUCAUGCAUAUGGAUAAUGAACUGAUUUUUGACCUACUUUAGAUGUAUUGAUUAUGGUCAUUGUCUUAGUCCAAACACUUCCAGUAGGUUAAGAAUGGAUAAUCUAAAAAAAAAAAAAAAAAAAAAAAAAGAAAUAAAAUGUUAUCUUAUUGAACUGUAUUUUUUGGAUAUAUAUCUUGUAAAAUUUUUGUUUUUUAAUGGUGAGUUUGUAAUGAAGCAUGAAAAUUUUAAAGAAUAUUUUGCAAAAGCAUGAGUUGAAGAAUAUUUUGGUGAAAAUACAUUGAUUGAUUGAUUUUUGGUGCUUAACACCUCUUUACAUACAAUUGGCCAUCAUGGCCCAUAGGUGAAAACUAAAGUACUCAAUAUGUUAUUGAAAUGUGUGGAGUUUUGUUAUUUAAUUAUUUUUUAAUUUUAAUUGUGCUAUAUUUUGUUUUUUUUGUUAAAUAUAGCAAGAAUGUGGAGUCCUAACAGUGUGAAAAUUUAGGUAAAGGGAAGUAAUACCCCUAUUUAACUCAUCGUAUUUUCUUUGAAAUUCCCUCAGUAAUAGGGAAUUUAACUUAUUAUGUACUUUAAUAUUGAUAUUUGUAUAAUUUUUUUUUUUAAAUAUCAGAUGUAUACUCGCUAAAAUAUACUAUUAUUUAGAGCUCUGUAAAAGAAAAAAAAUGUAAACAGAAGUCUAAAUAAUAGAUAUGUAGGGUGGGAGAAAUUAUGGGUCACUACAAAUCAUUUUGUAAAAUUUUCUAAAAAGCUGAUUAUUCAAAAAUGCAUCUUAUAUUUUUUUAUAUGUAUAAAUGUAUUAAGAAAAACAAAUGGACAAAAUAGAUAGAUGAUAAGAUGAGGACAGCCACCAUAACAGCCAGGAGAACAGCUCUAAGGAAGAUGGUCAAUUAAAUCUUCAACCAAGUCUGAGGUUUUACCAAGAGAAAUAUGUGGUUGUUGUAAUGACAAUGUUUUCAUGGUGUUGGGAGUAAGACUUGGAUAUCUGAUACUGUUAACAUGUUGGUUAGCAUCAGGUUUCCAUAGGGAUACUUCUUGGGGUAGUAAUCAGAGCUGAUUUAGUUGGAAGUGUAACUGUUGCUGCCUUGUUUGGUAAAAUCCUGCAAACCAUUGGAUGAACUGUUGCUAUAUUUUUAGUAGAAUCCG